Molecule: ribosomal RNA, 117 nt
Filed under: Lepisosteus oculatus (spotted gar)
Lineage: Eukaryota; Metazoa; Chordata; Actinopteri; Semionotiformes; Lepisosteidae
Source: RNAcentral
GCCAGCAGCUAUAUCACCCUGCACCUCUCAAUUGGCUACCAACUGAAGCUAAGCAGGGUUGAGCCUGGUCAGUACCUGGAUGAGAGACCUCCUAGGAUGCUAUGGUUGCUGCUGGAA